AAAGUCGUAACAAGGUAACCGUAGGUGAACCUGCGGUUGGAUCAUUAACAAAUAAUUUAGGCCCCUGGCUGCCUCAAAAGGGCGAAGGGGGAAAACCUAAACAUUUGUGUGCACCAUAUCUGUCCUUGGCAGUUCGAGUGUCCUGGGUCGCGUAACUGCCUCAGGUACCUACCGAGGCUUUCCUUUCGGGGUUUGCCAAAGUUGGGCUGCCGCUUCUAGAACAAACCUUUUGUAAUUUACUUUUGCCUGAAUUUGUUUGAUCUUUAUGAUUGAAUUUAAAUACAACUUUUGACAACGGAUCUCUUGGCUCUC
This 312-nucleotide unclassified non-coding RNA is filed under the name Chytridiomycota sp. Its description in RNAcentral is "partial contains small subunit ribosomal RNA, internal transcribed spacer 1, and 5.8S ribosomal RNA". The stretch from base 1 to 47 matches the Rfam family "Eukaryotic small subunit ribosomal RNA", at positions 1785 to 1831 of the family's 1831-position model. The record is from RNAcentral. Lineage: Eukaryota; Fungi; Chytridiomycota.